GAUGAACGCUAGCGGGAGGCCUAACACAUGCAAGUCGAGCGGUAUUUGUUUUACGGCUCAGAGAGGGCGGUGCACGGGUGCGGAACACGUGUGCAACCAGCCUUUAUCUGGGGGACAGGCUUUCGAACGGAAGAAUAAUAACCCAUAAUAUAUUGAGUGGCAACAUGUGAAAUUGAAAAAUCCGGUGGAUAGAGAUGGGCACGCGCAAGAUUAGAUAGUUGGUGAGGUAACGGCUCAACAAGUCAAUGAUCUUUAGGGGGGCUGAGAGGGUGAUCCCCCACACUUGUACUGAGGCACGGACCACACUCCUACGGGAGGCAGGGGUGAUUAAUAUUAGAGGAUGGGUUCGCGCCUGAUCCAGCCAGCCCGCGUGAAGAAGGACUUCGCUAUGGAUUGUAAACUUCUUGUGAAUAAAGAUAAACCUACUCUCGUGAGAGUAUCUGAAGGUACUAUACGAAUAAGCACCGGCUAACUCCGUG
This 479-nucleotide ribosomal RNA is filed under the name uncultured bacterium. RNAcentral describes it as "partial 16S ribosomal RNA". It matches the Rfam family "Bacterial small subunit ribosomal RNA", at positions 28 to 507 of the family's 1533-position model. The record is from RNAcentral.